AAAUAAAUAAAAUUAUAAUGUAUUUAUGUAUCUAAAAUACCUGCUCCAUCCAAAGUGCUGGCUGAUACGAAUGCUCCAGUAUAUGUUGAUUUAAGGUGGCUGGCAUCUACAACAACAAUCGGCCUACAAUGAUCAAAUCCCUUUAUAAAAGCAUGCAACGCUAUAAACACAUACAAAAAUUCGUUCUCAGGCGUUUUCUUCAUUCGAAUAUGUGAACCAGGGUAUGUCUUAUCCAAGGUAUACA
RNAcentral lists this long non-coding RNA (244 nucleotides) under Solanum tuberosum (potato). RNAcentral describes it as "long non-coding RNA (STUB_LNC010247)". Lineage: Eukaryota; Viridiplantae; Streptophyta; Magnoliopsida; Solanales; Solanaceae. The record is from RNAcentral.